AUGUCACAUUCUGUGGCACCUCUACAAGCGGCAGCUGAAAGCACAGGUCUUGUGUUUGAGUGCUGGGCAGGUUGUAAUGAAGCUGGGUGUGUAGACUGCAGUUUGCUCUCCAGGGAGCAUGAGCCUGAGAUGGUUGUUACUAGCUCAGACCAGCUCAAUACUGCUUUUUUACUUGCCUUGAGUUGUUUACCUCUUCUUUUUUCCACGUCCUUAAAGAAAACACUCUUCUUCUCUUUUUGUUUCAGCUGCAACACCUCUAAAGAGCUAAAGUUGGAGACCACAGGCUCGGGUACCUCAGGAAUUCUUUUGCUGUGGUUCUGCAGAUCCAGUAGUGCUGGAUUAUUGGCACGUUUCAGAUGGUUGCUCUGUAGUUGUGCAUAUGAACUUGCGAAGCUGAAUAAGCUGUUGUCGAGUCUGAGACGCCGUUACGCUGAACUGACCAGAUCUUCAGGAUGAGCCUCUGUGUGUUCUGUGUUCUGUGUUCUGUUGGAUAAAAUGCAUGAUGGAUUACUAAUUUGAAGUAUUCAUUUAAAAGAAAAAGUAAUGUCAAGGGUACAGCUUUAAGAAUUCAGAUGAUGUUACGAUUCAGUGUUAUGAAUAUAUAUAUAUAUAUAGAUAGAUAGAUAGAUAGAUAUAGAUAUAUAGAUAUAUAUAUAUAUUCCCCCAUUAUGAAAUCUGUGUGGGGGGUUACUUUAUGAUCCAAUGAUCCACAUGAGGAAAAGAGCUUUAUAAAGUGAAUUAAAAUGUUUUAUCGCACAUAGAAAUGGAUCUAUAAAGUGAUAAGGGUUUCUGAAGUAACUAUACAAGAUUCAAGAUUUUUAUUUGUCACAUACAUGGUUAUAUGGACCAGCAGUAAAAUGUAAGUGCAAAUACGUCCAAAGUCUCAAAUAUUUUUCAGUUUCAAAUAUCUGCUUCAAAAACCUGUGAAUUUUUAUCAUUAGCAUCCCAUGUGCAUUAUCAUAUUUUUGCUCUAUUGAGCAACAGCAAACAAAAAUAUGUUUGCUAUUGUAACAAUUAAUUUAUGAAAACGUUAUUUCUCUAAACACAUUCAAAACAUCCAGUUUAAUGUUUAAAAAUGUUGUUUUUUUUCCUUCUUUCUUGGUUAUGCAAACAUCAUGGGAACGUUACUUUUUACUUAACGUUCUGAAACAAGUAGUAAAAUUUAAAAAAAUGUUAGAGAAAUAUCCAACUAAAAAAUGUUUGAAAACAGAAAAUGUUUCAUAAUGUUUUUGUGUUAAUGUUUUGAGAACAUUAUUAAAGACCAGAUAACUUUUGAAAAAAUAUUAAUGUCACUGGAGUUUGUUUCAUAAUUCACAAAUUUUAUAACACUAAUACUGUUAUUUUCCUGUUUAUCACUUUGAAACAGUCUGUAUUGUAAAUAAAUACAUUGUUGUACUAUAGAAAUAAAUGUAU
Molecule: long non-coding RNA, 1413 nt
Organism: Cyprinus carpio (common carp)
Lineage: Eukaryota; Metazoa; Chordata; Actinopteri; Cypriniformes; Cyprinidae
Source: Ensembl